AGCUCCAAUAGCGUAUAUUAAAGUUGUUGCAGUUAAAAAGCUCGUAGUUGGAUUUUUGGCUGGAGCGGUCGGCCCGACCAUUGUGUUGGUGCUGGACUGGCUCCGGUCAUGUUUGGGUGGAUGGUGUGUGGCAUUAAGUUGUCGUGCAUCGGAUGCCCAUCGUUUACUGUGAAAAAAUUAGAGUGUUCAAAGCAGGCUUAUGCCGUUGAAUAUAUUAGCAUGGAAUAAUGAGAUAGGACCUGGGUACUAUUUCGUUGGUUUGCGCACCGAGGUAAUGAUUAAUAGGGACAGUUGGGGGUAUUCGUAUUCCAGUGUCAGAGGUGAAAUUCUUGGAUUUCUGGAAGACGAACUACUGCGAAAGCAUUUACCAAGGAUGUUUUCAUUAAUCAAGAACGAAAGU
Molecule: ribosomal RNA, 400 nt
Filed under: phytoplankton environmental sample
Lineage: Eukaryota
Description: partial small subunit ribosomal RNA
Rfam family: Eukaryotic small subunit ribosomal RNA
Source: RNAcentral